This 90-nucleotide small RNA is filed under the name Staphylococcus aureus. Its description in RNAcentral is "Antisense". The record is from RNAcentral. Lineage: Bacteria; Bacillati; Bacillota; Bacilli; Caryophanales; Staphylococcaceae.
CUAACUAUGCAGCAUCAAAAGAAAAAGAUGAUAACGAUUUAUCUAUCUUAGUUGGUGGUGCUGGAUUCACUGGUGUUGAAUUCUUAGGUG